GACAUCCGUAGCACUGCCUGGAUGGAGUCCAAGUGAAAACAGAUCAUCGUUUAUGAGCAGAACUAGUAAAAGUAAAAGUGGAAGCAGUCGCAACCUCCUGAAAACCGACGACUUGUCCAGUUCAGUAACCAUGCUUUUAAAUCAUGCCACGGGUUACAGGGACUAUCAUGGAGACAGGCAAACGUGGGAAGUGUCCAAAGAGGACCAACAGAUUUCUAUUGCCAUUAUUUUCAAUUUUUAAAAUUUAUAAUAGGAAACAAAAAACCCAGCACAUUUUAGUCUGUUGAAAAUAAAUUUGACUACAUGAUAAAUAAAAACAUUUGAAAG
Molecule: long non-coding RNA, 327 nt
Filed under: Rattus norvegicus (Norway rat)
Lineage: Eukaryota; Metazoa; Chordata; Mammalia; Rodentia; Muridae
Description: long non-coding RNA NONRATT016917
Source: RNAcentral